RNAcentral lists this ribosomal RNA (119 nucleotides) under Carassius auratus (goldfish). The record is from RNAcentral. Lineage: Eukaryota; Metazoa; Chordata; Actinopteri; Cypriniformes; Cyprinidae.
GCUUACGGCCAUACCAACCUGGCGAUGCCCGAUCUCGUCUGAUCUCAGAAGCUAAGCAGGUUUGGGCCUGGUUAGUACUUGGAUGGGAGACAGCCUGGGAAUACCAGGUGCUGUAAACU